UGGGGAAUAUUGCACAAUGGGCGCAAGCCUGAUGCAGCGACGCCGCGUGAGGGAUGACGGCCUUCGGGUUGUAAACCUCUUUCAGCAGGGACGAAGCGCGAGUGACGGUACCCUGCAGAAGAAGCACCGGCCAACUACGUGCCAGCAGCCGCGGUAAUACGUAGGGUGCGAGCGUUGUCCGGAAUUACUGGGCGUAAAGAGCUCGUAGGCGGUUUGUCGCGUCGUCUGUGAGAUUCUGCAGCUUAACUGCAGGCGUGCAGGCGAUACGGGCAGACUUGAGUACUACAGGGGAGACUGGAAUUCCUGGUGUAGCGGUGAAAUGCGCAGAUAUCAGGAGGAACACCGGUGGCGAAGGCGGGUCUCUGGGUAGUAACUGACGCUGAGGAGCGAAAGCGUGGGUAGCGAACAGGAUUAGAUACCCUGGUAGUCCACGCCGUAAACGGUGGGUACUAGGUGUGGGUUCCAUUUCACGGGAUCCGUGCCGUAGCUAACGCAUUAAGUACCCCGCCUGGGGAGUACGGCCGCAAGGCUAAAACUCAAAUGAAUUGACGGGGUCAUAGCU
RNAcentral lists this ribosomal RNA (562 nucleotides) under uncultured bacterium. RNAcentral describes it as "partial 16S ribosomal RNA". It matches the Rfam family "Bacterial small subunit ribosomal RNA", at positions 355 to 926 of the family's 1533-position model. The record is from RNAcentral.